RNAcentral lists this ribosomal RNA (435 nucleotides) under uncultured bacterium. Its description in RNAcentral is "bacterial SSU rRNA". It matches the Rfam family "Bacterial small subunit ribosomal RNA", at positions 8 to 447 of the family's 1533-position model. The record is from RNAcentral.
AGAGUUUGAUCCUGGCUCAGAUUGAACGCUGGCGGCAUGCCUUACACAUGCAAGUCGAACGGCAGCGGACCUUCGGGUGCCGGCGAGUGGCGAACGGGUGAGUAAUGUAUCGGAACGUACCUUUCAGUGGGGGAUAACGUAGCGAAAGUUACGCUAAUACCGCAUAUUCUGUGAGCAGGAAAGCAGGGGAUCGCAAGACCUUGCGCUGAUUGAGCGGCCGAUAUCAGAUUAGCUAGUUGGUGAGGUAAAGGCUCACCAAGGCGACGAUCUGUAGCGGGUCUGAGAGGAUGAUCCGCCACACUGGAACUGAGACACGGUCCAGACUCCUACGGGAGGCAGCAGUGGGGAAUUUUGGACAAUGGGGGCAACCCUGAUCCAGCCAUGCCGCGUGAGUGAAGAAGGCCUUCGGGUUGUAAAGCUCUUUCGGCCGGGAAG